UGGGGAAUUUUGGACAAUGGGCGAAAGCCUGAUCCAGCAAUGCCGCGUGUGUGAAGAAGGCCUUCGGGUUGUAAAGCACUUUUGUCCGGAAAGAAAUCCUUGGCUCUAAUACAGUCGGGGGAUGACGGUACCGGAAGAAUAAGCACCGGCUAACUACGUGCCAGCAGCCGCGGUAAUACGUAGGGUGCAAGCGUUAAUCGGAAUUACUGGGCGUAAAGCGUGCGCAGGCGGUUUGCUAAGACCGAUGUGAAAUCCCCGGGCUCAACCUGGGAACUGCAUUGGUGACUGGCAGGCUAGAGUAUGGCAGAGGGGGGUAGAAUUCCACGUGUAGCAGUGAAAUGCGUAGAGAUGUGGAGGAAUACCGAUGGCGAAGGCAGCCCCCUGGGCCAAUACUGACGCUCAUGCACGAAAGCGUGGGGAGCAAACAGGAUUAGAUACCCUGGUAGUCCACGCCCUAAACGAUGUCAACUAGUUGUUGGGGAUUCAUUUCCUAGUAACGUAGCUAACGCGUGAAGUUGACCGCCUGGGGAGUACGGUCG
Molecule: ribosomal RNA, 539 nt
Filed under: uncultured bacterium
Lineage: Bacteria
Description: partial 16S ribosomal RNA
Rfam family: Bacterial small subunit ribosomal RNA
Source: RNAcentral